GACGAACGCUGGCGGCGUGCUUAACACAUGCAAGUCGAACGGAAAGGCCCUGCUUUUGUGGGGUGCUCGAGUGGCGAACGGGUGAGUAACACGUGAGUAACCUGCCCUUGACUUUGGGAUAACUUCAGGAAACUGGGGCUAAUACCGGAUAGGCGCUCCUGCUGCAUGGUGGGGGUUGGAAAGUUUCGGCGGUUGGGGAUGGACUCGCGGCUUAUCAGCUUGUUGGUGGGGUAGUGGCUUACCAAGGCUUUGACGGGUAGCGGGCCUGAGAGGGUGACCGGCCACAUUGGGACUGAGAUACGGCCCAGACUCCUACGGGAGGCAGCAGUGGGGAAUAUUGCACAAUGGGCGGAAGCCUGAUGCAGCAACGCCGCGUGCGGGAUGACGGCCUUCGGGUUGUAAACCGCUUUCGCCUGUGACGAAGCGUGAGUGACGGUAAUGGGUAAAGAAGCACCGGCUAACUACGUG
Molecule: ribosomal RNA, 468 nt
Filed under: uncultured bacterium
Lineage: Bacteria
Description: partial 16S ribosomal RNA
Rfam family: Bacterial small subunit ribosomal RNA
Source: RNAcentral